This 10335-nucleotide long non-coding RNA is filed under the name Prunus persica (peach). RNAcentral describes it as "long non-coding RNA (PPER_LNC001584)". Lineage: Eukaryota; Viridiplantae; Streptophyta; Magnoliopsida; Rosales; Rosaceae. The record is from RNAcentral.
AAAAAAAAAAAAAAAAAGAAGAAGAAGAAGAAAACAACAACCAUGCCUAACAAGAAAAUCUUGGGUGGGAGCUUACGGAGACUUUGAUACUUUUCGGUCUGGAUAAACUUCCAUUUUGGUUAUAUUUGCUAGUUUUUACUGUACUUUUGGUUUUAUAAUUUCCAAAAAUGAUCAUAAUGUUGGAAAAAACUGUGAUGUGCAAAGUUUUUUACUAUCUAUUGGAUUGGAUUUACUCUUGUUUUGAGCUAUUCAUCGUUCAUUCGAAAAAUUAUUGUGUAUGACAGUAACAUGUGCACUAGCUAGGUUGGUAUUAAUUUAGUUAGGGUUUAAACAUUAAUAAAUUAAAAUGAGUCGACAUACUUAUUUCACACCCAAAAUUUUUUCUAAUAAUUGAGAAUUAACUAACAAGUAGACGAUUGAAUCAUGACAUAUUAGUGUGAUAUUAACAUAUUUUAAACAGGUUUAGUCAAACUACUUAAGAGGAGAUUGAGAUGAAGGAAAUAUAUGUGGGCAUCACAAGUUACUAUAUCCCAAUUAAUAAGUAUUUGUAAACAGUAAGUUGUGUUCCUAUUGACCAUAAAUUAUGGAAUUCAAUUUAUUCAACGUUCAGCCGCGUAAAGUCACGAAAACUCCACCCAAUAUUAAUUUCAAACGAGCUAGUUGAUCUUUGACUGAGCUAAGAUAGAUUAUUAACUUACCAAGCUCAAAAUUAUUAGGGCUCAUUUGGGAGUGAUUUUAAAUAAGCUGAUAAUCAUUUUAUGAAGAAUUACUUCUCCAUAUUAUCACUUUUAGUGAUUUUAUAGAAAAACACAUAAGAGGUGCUUCUCCCCAGAAUAACUUUAAAUCACUAUAAGUGAUUAUGUAGAGAUACACGUAGGAGAUGCUUCUUCCCAGAAGUGAUUCCAGCGCUUCCUAAAUCACUUCCAAAUGAGCCCUUGGUCAAUUUGGAUCCCAGAAGAAAGAAACUAUACAAUUUAUUAGAAGUUCAUAAUGAACUCACACAUUAAUUUCCAAUUAGAAGAGAUAAAUGCUUCCACAUUUUACAAGAAGAGAGCAAGCAAAUCUGAAUAUGCCUCCUCAAACAAUGUCAUCAAAAUGCGAAAAUUACAGACAACAAUUUUUUUUAACAAGUUACUCAAAUUAAUCCACCAGUGUAAGGCACACCAGUCGCAGCCAACCAAUUAUCCCCCAUCAAGAAGUUGGUCACUGUAAAAUUAGCAGCAACGGUUGAAUUGAUCACAUGGUAGCCAGGCCAUGUAACCCUAUUUGUAGUGUUGGAUCCAGGGCCUGUGUUAUUGUACUCAGCAUAAUACAAUGUGCUCAGAGCAAAAUCUCCACUCCAUGCAAGCCAGCCAGCAGGAUCAAUCAAACUAGCCAUGAAAGUUUGCAUGUAAACUGUCCUUGAAUAUUCCUUCCAUGGCCUCCCCAGAUAGGUCUUGACAGUGAAAUUACUCGAAGCCAAAUCCGGCGUCGGUUUGAUAGUGCAGUUGUGGAUUGAAGUCCCCGUGUUCUGAUUCGGGUCGGUUCGACCUUGAGCUGUGAUGGCAUUGGACUGCCCUUUGUUUGGCUGACGAGGAUAUAGGUUGCAAUUUUGGAAAACAACUGCUGCAUUGCCGAAUAUGAAGUCAACUGUUCCAUAGAUAUCACAUUCUCUGUAGAAUUGUCUGAGAGAAUGUGUGUAUAAGGUGUCUUGGUAGCCUUCAAAACUGCAGCUAUAGAAAACUGACAAAUCUGCCCCGCUUCGGAGUGCAACUGCCUGCCCUUUGCUUGGUCCGGCCGUGUUACGAACAGUAAUGUUCACUGCUACAAACCCUAGUCCUGUGACAGCUGCAUUGACCAAGAAGCUAAUUAGCUUACAGUUAAUCAUUUACAAAAUGUUUGUGAGUUUAAACAUUGUAUAAUAGUUUUUAGUUCAAAUGUCAUAAUCUGGCAAGUUAUGUUAUUAGACUGUGAAUUAAGAAUAUUUAUUAACUCACCUAAAGUGGCAGAGUUGAAAGUUGUCGAGCCAUCUCCUACGCUGUUGUUUCCAGUGAUGAUUGUCUGGUUGAUACCGUCUCCGAUCAUCAACAAGUACUUCUUGUUUGAUGCAAUUGACACAUACUCUUGAUAAACACCAGCAGUGACAUAUAUCAAGAAGUAGCCACCACUUGCAACGGAGUUGUUUGGUGCAGCAGCAAUGGCAGCAUUGAUGGUGGUAAAAUUUCCACUUCCAUCUUGACUCACAACCACAAUGCCCUUAACCAAAACCUCUUCAUCUCCUACCUGAAGAAGUCUUCUUCUCCGAUGAUUGAUAGCGGCGUCAUAAAUUGCACGAGCUUGGCUUGACAUCUUCAGGUUCAAGCGUCCCUUCCCAAAUUGGAGAUGCCUCUUGGGUUGCUUUGGCACUCCAUUUUUGUCCUUAGGCACCCAACCCUUAGUAAACAGAGCCAAAGAGACACUGUACAAUUGUGAGUUGUUAGAGAUUGAGGCAGAGAGAUCAUUGAUGAGACUCCCAGCUGAAGAAGGCAGAGAUUCGAGGCCAUCGGAACAAGUUUGUUGGUUGGUUAAAAUGGCACUAAGCAAUGUUUGGACAUCAUCAGCAUCCAAGCUAGCAAGAACACCACUUGUCUUGUUGACAGUUUCAAGGGAGCUUGAUAAGAAAUCAAUGUUCAACAAUGUAAGCAACUUGCAAUCCUCAAGUGCUUGGAUUGCAGGCUGUGGCAAGACUGAGCCAAGUUGAAGAUGAUUUUCAAUCGAAUCGAAGAGAUUAUGGGAUUGGGAAAGUGCAUGCUGGACAGAAAACCUGCCAAAGUCAUAGACAUUGGCAUUUUUGUGGGGAAGGACAGAUAUGCAAUAGGAAGGGUGUGGAGUGGACUUGCAAAUUGUUUCUGGUGGGAGAGGAGUGUCUAGAGGGACAUCUGCUAAAGAUGGGGAGCUAAGGGAAUGGAAGAUUAUGAGAAAUGAUGAAAAUGUUGCAAGAGAAAAAAGCUUAGAAGCCAUUGCUAUAGCUAGAGAGAGUUUUGAGGAAUGUGUAAUUGGUCAUGGGUCUACAUCUACAUAUAUAGUGAAGAGGAAGUAAUUUAAUAAUAAUAUUAUUAUUAUUGUAUUUGGAAGUGCAUGACUUUAUCCAAAGCUCAAUGUUAGCUCUUCAGUUUGCUUCUUCUUUUUUUUUCUUUUUCUUUUUGUAGGCUUAUUUGAUUGCUUCUUGACUAGAUAUAUAAUUGAGGAAAGAGAGAGGAAGUUAGUAGGUGUCACGUAGAUGUUAAGUAGUGUCGGAUGAUCCACUUGAUUAAUUAGGUUUAUUAAUGAACUUGUAUUCCUACCCUAUUGACAUUUUCUCAACCAUAUAUUCUUAUAUGUUUAAACCUACAAACACAAAUAUAUGUUUAUAAUGAUACUUGUACGAAGCUUAAUUCUCCCUAUUUUGUCUUAUUAUCCAGAGAUUUAAGAGUGAUCUUGAAAAAGAUAAUUUCUAUUGAAUCAAAAUGAAAAUAACCUAUAAUUCGCUAUAUAUAUAUAUAUGCGAUUGGGUUUUAGUCUCUGUAAAAAAUACAACUAACAUUAUCGUGAGAGUAAUGUGAUAUAUAAGAGAAAUACCACUAAAUUGCAAGAGCUAUUUGGUGCAUUGCAAUGUGAUAGAGUUAACAUUCCUCUAAUGUAGAUCCAAUGCACUUAGAUAGGGAUUAAGUUUAGGCUUUUUAAACGUACACAUAAUAUAAUCAACAUUCUAGAUGAUGUAAACCCCUCAUUUCAUGGAUGUUUUUGGUUUACGAACUUUUAAAGGACAAUUAGGCGAAGGUCAUUGAUAUGUGUUAGGGCACAAAAAGACACACAUGCAUACCCCCGAAAUAUUGUAAAGGUGAAGAAAAUUAAGCCUAUAACAUGCACAUUGCAAAGUUGUUAAUUUCUUUGAUUAAUGUGUGAGAUGCUGUAACCAAAAUGAGCAUUUAGCCAAUAUAAAUAUUUAAUUAUUAGACCUAGCUACCACAUGGAAAUAUGAUAUAAUUAACCACAUAUUGGUCGUGCAUUAGUGGUAUAUAUUUGUGCAUUAAUUAGGCUUAAGCGCGUAGUACGAAUACCAUAUGGUAAGGAUAUAUAUAUAUAUAUAUAUAUGAGAAAAAUAGAUUUCAUUAAAAACCCAAUAAACAAUAUAAAGUAACCGGCAUGUUAGUUAUUACUGACAUUCUAAAAGAGUUAUCAUGCAAUUUGAAGUGUAAUUUUCUCUCUUACAUAUAUUUUUACAAGGGAUAAAUGUUUAAUGACAGUUCCCUAUGUACAUAGAUACAAAGCUAUUAUUGCCGUCUCUUAUACUCUAUUGGAGUGCCAAUAACAGUACCUUUGUACAUAUAUAUACAACGUAUAAACCCAAUACCCUAACUUGACUGAAACUCAAAGCUACAGUAACUUACAAACCAACCCAGUAAUUUGACUGAAACUCAAAGCCCCCCAAUAAGCAUGUGAUUUUGUGAGAUUAAUAAGUCUCUUUUUGAGCAAGUUGGGUUGCAUGAGAAAAGGUCAGAGAAGCAAUUAAGUACAGCUGCUUCAAGCUCAUUUGGAUUUUCAUGUGCUUCAGAAAGGAAAGACUUUUAAUCUCUUAAUAUUUAAUUCCACUUGUCACGAACUAUUAACCAAGUAGACUAAGAAAUUGAUGAACUAUGCAUGAGUCAGAGAGAUUAUAUAAAUGAUGAGCAUGAUGAGUACGUAACCUAAUCAAGCAAAGUCAAACUAGAAGAGCUCCUAUCGACUGAAAACUUCGGAGUCAAUGUGUGCUAAAAACGUUAGCCAAAUGUACACAAAAUGCAUAUUUGGAGCUUUGCUAAGCCUUUGAUUUGGUCAUGCAAAGAUUGCAUACAUGUGAAGGAAAAUCAAGAAUAUAUGGAACCGUUUGAAUUUUGAUAAAUUGACGAAGACAUAUUAAUGAAAAAGUUUUUCUUUUGUUUUAAUUUUUUGGUCAGAUUAAAACAUUCUUACUUGCUUCAUACACAUUAACCACCAAAUAAAACUGCUUAAUUAAGUCAAAAUCUAUUAUAUUGGCUCGUAUGUGGCUACUGAAUAUGAAAACUUAAAAGAACUCUCAUAGCAAAGAAUUUUCAUAAUUUAAGUGGUUAAAAAUAUCUACUCAUGUACUCGAGGUAUCCUAUAUUCAAUUUUUCUCAAAGUCACACUUUUUCUAUGUUAAAAUUAAUCGAACCAAACCGGUCGAAUUGGUUUAAUUUGGCCGGUUUGAUAUGUCCAACAUCUCAUCCCCUAUAUGACUUUUAUAUAAUCUUCAUAAUGAAUGAUCAACCACUAGGUUCAUUACAUGAUCAUUAUUCAAUACAUCUAAACUAUAUAACCACAUUAUCAAAUUAACCAUUACGAAACUUAAUCACAUGCACACACGCCACUACAUGUUGCCCACAUUAAACCUCAACUAAUUUACAUUAAUUUGGUCCAAAGUUUUUUUUUUUUUUUCUUUCUUAUAACCAGUCCAAACUUAUCAAUUUGGACACUAGGUUGUCAUAUGCACGCGUUAUAGAUUUCUUAAAUUUAAUUUACUUCAAUUUGACAUUUAAAUCAUUAAUCAAGAUUCAUAUGUGCUCGUGACAAAGCACUCUAGCUAGCUGUGAUCAGUAUAGAACAUCAAGUGGAAAUAUAUAUAUAUUCUCUUUUAUUGAGGGAUCCCUUAAAUAAUUUUAUUUGAGAGACACCCUUUAGGGUUCCCUAUAAUAAAAAAUUCAACAAUUCAAACCAUAUAUUUUUUGAUUUUAUAAAUCAUCUUUACAAAAAAUUAAAUAAAUUGAAUAUCGUCUGUUUUUUAGUUCUACAUUCAUAGUUCUGUAUUCCCACUUGAUGUUCUAUACUGAUCACAGCUAGCUAGAGUGCUUGUCACGAGCACAUAUAUAUGUACAUAUUGUUUCUGAAUUUUGAGUUCUGACUUUUUAUUUUGCAAACCCAACCUGUUAAACUCGAUUUAGUUAAUCUGAGAAAAUCACAUGCUUAAUUCUUCUUGCUUUGGUUUUCAGUCAAAUUAGAGUGGGCUUGUAUAUAACACAGCAAGUAAUAACUGAUGAUAGAUAGGCUUUACGGGGGAAGGUCGGUCGUUUGGUUAAGCCUCAGAUCUAAUGCGUAGUUAUCAUAAUAAAAUAUUUGCAUUUGGUAGGUGCAGAAAGAUUGGGUCUGUGUCUUGUGGUGCUCAUACAUCAUGUAGGUCGUGUACGUUGACUAUAUGCAUGCCUGUGCCUAACGCGUUCUCUCUCUGAAACUUCUUGUGCAGAGAAUUGAACCCAUAUAGAUCUUCACCUAAUAAAUUCCAUAUCUUUUCUUUUUUGGUUUCAAAUUAGGCCACUCUAACCUCUGGAAUAUUAAGCAAAUUAAAUAAUAUAUAGGGUAGAAACUCCCUGCCAUAUAACCAACAAAAAUAUUAUUGAAUAUAUAUAUUUGUCUGCGACCACAAAUAAAAGAAUAUUAUUUAUAUAUUCUUUAAUUCUUAUGUUCAUAGGUUUUGGACAUGUACAUGAUGACCAAUAUUCCAGUAGGUGCACAUUACCAACCCCAACGUUGACAAAUGACAUAUGAUACGACAGUGGGAAGACAAAAGCGAAAUAAAUCACGGACAUAAUAAUUCAUCUCCUAAAAGUUAAUUUUGUUUGUUUAGAAAAACUUACGUGAGAUUGUUUUUGCUAGUUAAAUAUAAUAUGUGAUUAAGAAAUAAUUAUUUGUUAUUAAAUUUGAACACAUGAUUAUUUUCUAAUUGGAUUGUUUUGUCACUCGAUACUGAGUCUCGUGACAAAUAUAUGAUCUAAACGGGUUGUUUAGCUUGCAUUAUUAGAAGAAUAAUAGAAAAAUACUUCCCUCCUUACUAUAUAAGUAUGAACUAUAUUUUCAUCAAUAACAGUACGACAUGUGUAUAAAAAAUUUUCUUUUUGUAAGUAUCUCCUUACGGAAAAUGAGACAAGGAGUACCAUAUAAAACUACGUUUAAUUAGAUCGUUCUAUAUUGGUUGACAUAUGCGUGACAGCUGCCAUAGCCCCCACCCUUCCUUGUCAAGAAGUUAAUAGCAUCAAUCUCAAUUCUAAGCUGCGUUUUCCUUUGGAUAAAGUCGUGCACGUUUACUUUAUGAAAUUCAAUACCAACUUUAUAUUCUCUAAAACAAUAGUCAAAUUGGCUUGAUCACUUUCUAUAUAUAGAUACGAACCCCGUGACCCUAUUUCACAUUCCUCAAAAGCUCUCCCUUCUCCAUUAAUUAGAGCAAUGGCUUCUAAGCUCUUUUCUCUUGUAACAUUUUCUUCAUUUCUCAUUAUUUUCAAUCUCCUUAGCUCUCCGUCUUUAGCAGAUGUCCCUCUAAACACUCCUCUCCCACCAGAAACAAUCUGCAAAUCCACCCCACACCCUUCUUAUUGCAUAUCUGUUCUUCCCCACAAAAAUGCCAAUGUCUAUGACUUUGGCAGGUUUUCAGUCCAACAUGCUCUUUCCCAAUCCCAUAAGCUCUUUGAUUCAAUUGAAAAGUAUCUUCAAAGUAGCUCAGCUUUGCCACAGCCAGCAAUCCAAGCACUUGAGGAUUGCAAGCUGCUUGCAUUGUCAAACAUUGAUUUCUUAUCAAGCUCCCUCCAAACUGUCAACAAGACAAGUGGUGUUCUUUCUAGCUUGGAUGCUGAUGAUGCCCAAACCUUGCUUAGUGCCAUUUUAACCAACCACCAAACUUGUUCUGAUGGGAUUGAAUCUCUGCCAUCUUCAGCUGGGAGUGCCAUCAGUGAUCUGUCGGUUCCAAUUUCUAACAACACAAAGUUGUACAGUGUCUCUUUGGCUCUGUUCACCAAGGGUUGGGUGCCUAAGGACAAAAGUGGGGUGCCAAAGCGACCCAAGAGGCAAUUCAGAUUCGGAAAGGGACGGUUGAACCUGAAGAUGUCAAGCCACGCUCGUGCAAUUUAUGACGCUGCUAUCAAUCAUCGGAGAAGAAGGCUUCUUCAGGUAGGAGAUGAAGAGGUUUUGGUGAAGGACAUUGUGGUUGUGAGUCAAGACGGAAGUGGAAACUUCACGACCAUCAAUGAGGCCAUAGCAAUCGCACCAAAUAACUCCGUUGCUAGUGAUGGCUACUUCUUGAUAUAUAUCACUGCCGGUGUAUAUCAAGAGUAUGUGUCAAUUAUAUCGAAAAAGAAGUAUCUGUUGUUCAUCGGAGACGGUAUCAACCAGACAAUCAUCACAGGAAACAACAGUGUAGGAGAUGGCUCGACAACUUUCAACUCUGCUACUUUAGGUGAGUUAAUUCAAACAUUCAUACUAAAAACGUCAUUUUUAGAACCGCACAUUCAGACAUAAUUAAUUCAAAAAACAUUAGUGGUUUGAUUUGAUUCCAAAGUCUGUUAAUAAUGGUUUCCAAUUUAUAAUAUGACAACAUAACAUAUCAGAUUAUCUUAUACUUUAAAAUAAAAAAUAAAAAUAAAAACUAAAUGUUUACAAUUGCAAAUAUUUUAUUGAUGAUUAAUAAGCUAAUUAACUUCAUGAUCAAUAUUGCAGCUGUGGUGGCAGAAGGGUUUAUGGCAGUGAACAUUACUGUUCGUAACACGGCUGGACCAAGCAAAGGGCAGGCAGUUGCACUCCGAAGCGGGGCAGAUUUGUCAGUUUUCUAUAGCUGCAGCUUUGAAGGCUACCAAGACACCUUAUACACGCAUUCUCUCAGACAAUUCUUCAGAGAAUGUGAUAUCUAUGGAACAGUUGAUUUCAUAUUUGGUAAUGCUGCUGUUGUUUUCCAAAACUGCAACAUAUAUCCUCGUCAGCCUAACAAAGGGCAAUUCAAUCCCAUCACUGCUCAAGGUCGAACCGACCCGAACCAGAACACAGGGACCUCAAUUCACAACUGCACUAUUAAACCAGCAGCCGAUUUGGCCUCAAGUAACUUCACUGUCAAGACCUAUCUAGGAAGGCCAUGGAAGGAAUAUUCAAGAACAGUUUACAUGCAAACUUUCAUGGAUAGUUUUAUAGAUCCUGCUGGUUGGCAUGAUUGGAGUGGUGAUUUUGCACUGAGCACAUUGUAUUAUGCUGAGUACAAUAACACAGGUCCUGGAUCCAGCACUGCCAAUAGGGUUACAUGGUCUGGUUACCAUGUGAUCAAUUCAACUGAUGCUGCGAAUUUCACAGUUUCCAACUUCUUGCUGGGGGAUAAUUGGUUGCCUCAAACUGGUGUGCCUUACACUGGUGGCUUAAUUUGAGCAACUUAAUGUUAAAUUUAUUGUUGUGUUUGUUUUCCUUAAUGUCUUUUGUUUAAGAAGCAUCAAAGCUUCCAGCUUCUGUAACUCAAGUUUUUUUGUAAACUGUGGAAAGCAAUAUUUAUUUCUUCAAAUUGGAACAUGUGUAUGAUUUCUUCAUAAUUAGAAUAAAACUCUUUUGCAUACAUGGGUUAGACCAGUGGGUCCUUGCACCCAAAUUCGAAUCCCCUCUGGCCCCCAAAACAGUGUAGAUUAGAUGAAUUUAGAUUAUCGUUUGUAUUUAUAAAAAGAAAAGAAUGAAACUCUAGCUAUAGGUAAAGGCAUUUAAUAUUUUGAGAGCCAAAAUCCCCACCAACUUGUUGUUGUGUCCUUCAUAAUAAAGCAUGUUUGGUAUAGAAGACACCUCAGAAGCCAUACAACAAACAUGUUUAAUAAGAAUCUUAAUUAGAAAUUUAAAUGAGUUUUAGCUAAAGUGAAGCAAUAACAACCCAAGUCGCUGUGUAUGUUACAACAAACAAACCCUUAUGAGCGCUUUCAUAGGGGAGAUUACACUCCAUGCAAUAACAUAUAAACAUGCAUGAAACAUAAAAUCAAUGGCCAAACUCAUUUCUCGUGCCACCGAACCAUUUUUUUCUCCACCAAACAAACUUUAGCUCCAUCCAUCUUUUGAGACCUCUCGCUUCUCUCUCUCUCUUUCAAAAUCUAUCUGUAACGUGUCCUUAUAUUCUUCUUCCCUCCCCUGCCAUCUUCCUCCAUCACCCCAUCCCCAAUUCUUCUCCUUCUUGACCCUCCAAAACAAAAACAAAAAAAUCCAAAAAAAAAAAAAACCCAAAAAAAAAAAAAAUACGAACACCUCCCUCUGUAGUCCUCCUCCAAUGAAUCUCUGAUCGGUAUGGUGUGGUUUUCGCAAUGUCUCGCUAAUUUAAAUGUAUAAAUUAUGACGAGGAUGAGCAAGUAGCGAAGAAUCACAUCCACCACUGGUCUGGGAAAAAUUAAAGAGAAAUGGAGGUUCAGAGGAUGAGGCAGCUGAUGUUGUUAUGGUCUAGAAUACAAAGCAACCGCGUGGCCCUCGUGGGUGGGAACCACACCGCCGCCCGAUUUUGCACCCGCUAAGUAUUUUGCCUCUCCGCGCUAUUUCUCCCUCUCCCUCUCUGCCCUAACAAAAGUUAAU